CUCUUAUCAAGAGUGGCGGAGGGACUGGCCCUAUGAUGCCCGGCAACCGAUAGCAAAGCUAUAAGGUGCUAAUUCCAGCAGAACCUUACUUAGGUUCUGAGAGAUGAGAG
RNAcentral lists this non-coding RNA (110 nucleotides) under Desulfosporosinus acidiphilus. RNAcentral's name for it is "SAM-I sequence". It matches the Rfam family "SAM riboswitch aptamer (S box leader)". Rfam says of the family: The SAM riboswitch is found upstream of a number of genes which code for proteins involved in methionine or cysteine biosynthesis in Gram-positive bacteria. The SAM riboswitch acts at the level of transcription termination control. Lineage: Bacteria; Bacillati; Bacillota; Clostridia; Eubacteriales; Desulfitobacteriaceae. The record is from RNAcentral.